This 1343-nucleotide long non-coding RNA is filed under the name Fukomys damarensis (Damara mole-rat). Its description in RNAcentral is "lncRNA (ENSFDAG00000024143.1)". The record is from RNAcentral. Lineage: Eukaryota; Metazoa; Chordata; Mammalia; Rodentia; Bathyergidae.
CCCGCCCAGUGGCCUUGCUGGGGAAAGGCAACCGGGACAGGUGGGUGUGGGCUCUCUAAGGGACAGAAUAACUCCCACGUGAAUCGCGCACGUCGUAACUGCCCUAAGAAAUGCAGGAAGGGCAGAGAAGUGUCUAAUUCUAAAGCGUAUUUAUUCAUUCUGUCACUCCUUCAAACGUCCCUCUGUCCAUGCACCUGUCCAUAAAUGAGCCAAAGCUUCGUGGAGCCAGACGCUGUGUUGGGUGCUGGCGGUAAAUAACAACGAACCCUGUAUUUGUCCUUAGGGAGCUCACAGUCUAGCGAGGAGUCCCGACUAACAAAUGCUCGUACCAACUAGGCUCUUCUUACAAUCAUGGUCAGCCCUAGGAACUGUAAGGUACAGGUCGCUGCAACAACAAGGUGUCUAAUUUAGACCGGGGCUCAGGUCCCUUGGGGAGUUAGUUACGCUGAGCCGACUCCUGAAUCAACAAGUAUUCCGGGCAGAGGAAGGAGCUUCUGCAAAGCGCUGCGGGCCUGGAAGCAAGACCUAAUUUGCAGAGGGUCCUGCGGGCCGGGUUCAGGAGUACAGCUGUCCCGGAAUUGCGGGACUGAGCAUCCGGAAGGAAGAGGAGGGGGCAGCCCUGCCGGGAUCUUCGGGAUGGAUCGCUCAGGUCAUUGGGAAGACUGACAGAGAAGGUUCUGGACUCCAGCUGGAAGAGGGAGGGCAGGAAGAAUGAAAAGGUUCUGAGAACCACAGGCUGCUCCUCCUCCCUGCUUUGCAAGCGUAGCCUGCCAGCCUGGCCCUGGGGCAUCCGCUGCAGCUCCUGCACCAUCUCAUCCCCUGCCAGCAAGGAGGCUGGGCUGGAUGGCAGUGAAGAGGACUGCAGCCCACCUGCCGACCCUGUGCUGCUGCUUCCCCGAAGAAACCGACCUGAAUAAAACUCAAGGAAGCAGGGGUCCAAUGGUGCGCCCAGUGUGUUACCUGUGUCUCAAUGCUGUCAUUUCAAUUGUCAAGUCGUAACUGUAGGGAGGACAGAAAGAGAGAGAGAGAGAGGGCACGGGGAUUGCUGAUCAAAGAGAACAGUUUCAGAUGGAGAUCUGCAGAGGAGGGUGGCCAUGACCAUCGUCAAGAAUAAUGUCUGGUGUGUUUCAAAGUAAGCGUCCGUUUCACAUGUCUCCUUGGGUUUUGUUUUGUUUUUUGAGUCAGGGUUUCACCAUGUAGUUCAGGCUGUUCUUGAACUCAUCAUGUAGCCCAGGCUGGCCUGGAACUCCUGGCAAACUUCUACAUCAGACUCCCAAGUUCUGGGAUUACAGGCAUGCACCACCAUGCCCGCAGUUUCCUUACAUUUUAAGUGGAGAUGCAUG